Molecule: ribosomal RNA, 494 nt
Filed under: uncultured bacterium
Lineage: Bacteria
Description: partial 16S ribosomal RNA
Rfam family: Bacterial small subunit ribosomal RNA
Source: RNAcentral
GACGAACGCUGGCGGCGCGCUUAACACAUGCAAGUCGAACGGAAAGGCCUGCUUUCCCUUGUGGAUUGCGGGUACUCGAGUGGCGAACGGGUGAGUAACACGUGAGUGAUCUGCCCCCAACUUGGGUAUAAGCCUGGGAAACUGGGUCUAAUUCCCGAUAGGACUGCAGGGUGGUGCCUGUGGUGGAAAACGAUUUUCUAGUGGUUGGGGAUGAGCUCGCGGCCUAUCAGCUUGUUGGUGGGGUAAUGGCCUACCAAGGCGGCGACGGGUAGCCGGCCUGAGAGGGUAGACGGCGACAUUGAGACUGAGAAACGACCCAGACUCCUACGGGAGGCAGCAGUGGGGAAGAUUGGACAAUGGGCGGAAGCCUGAUGCAGCGACGCCGGGUGGGGGAUGACGGCCUUCGGGUGGUAAACUCCUUUCGACCGCGAGGAAGCCACCUGGUUGGAAGGGUGGUGACGGUAGUGGUAGAAGAAGCACCGGCUAACUACGUG